UGGCCCCGCCCCCGCCUUGCAAGCAGCCGCCUUCGCCUCCUCUUAGUCUUGACCGGAAAUCGUGCGCCGGAAGCGGAAGCCCCUCCCCCGGAAGCGGUGGUGCGGGAAGAUGGCGGUGCUGGGGCGACCGCGGGGCUUGGUGGCGGUGAACAGGCUGCUUCUGGCUGUUCCGCAGGUGACUGCAGUUGUGGUGCGAUGUGCAUCCAAGAAGAGUGGGGGCAGCUCAAAAAAUCUUGGUGGCCACAGUCCCGGGAAACGCUAUGGCUAUAAGAAAACAGAAGGUUCAUUUGUUCAUGCAGGCAAUACAUUAGCCACCCAACGGAUGAUACGCUGGCAUCCAGGGGCUCAUGUGGGGAUGGGUUGUAACAAGACUCUCUUUGCUCUGGAGGAUGGGAUUGUGCGAUUCACCAAGGAGGUCUAUGUGCCACCACCCCGCAGCCAAGAGAGCAGGGAAGUGAUCUGUCGUCUACCAAAAGGAGUGGUGCUUUACAAAACCUUCAUCAACGUUGUCCCCACCAAAGAAGUAGGGAGCUUCAAGCUAGUCACCAUGCUCUGAGGCUCUGUUGCCUCACGCAGUAAUGACUGAGUACCACAUCUGUCAAGGUAAUCAAUCAAAAAGAUGUCUGGAGGACUCCUCUAGCUCUGAAAUGACUUGUUGGCGACUCCAGUUUCCUGCUCCUGGAACUCACUGGGUGUAAAUUUGAGAGUUACAAGCAUUUUGGGAUUGUACAGCAAGUUGCUCCACGAGUCCUAGCCCUUGCUGAACCUUUAUCUUGUCGGAACUUACAAGUCUUCCUCCACGUAGCAGUUUUUAGAUCCCCGAGGAAUGUGGAGCACAGAGCUAUGAUUUGAUGAUAGCAGCUCUAGUACAAAUACAUUCAU
Dermochelys coriacea (leatherback sea turtle) is the source of this 882-nucleotide RNA transcript. It is a transcript of the gene named mitochondrial ribosomal protein L27, with no coding region annotated. NCBI's taxonomy places the organism in Eukaryota, Metazoa, Chordata, Testudines, Dermochelyidae. The record is from RefSeq and is a predicted model, not a curated record. The transcript is spliced from 5 exons.